Molecule: long non-coding RNA, 268 nt
Filed under: Ananas comosus (pineapple)
Lineage: Eukaryota; Viridiplantae; Streptophyta; Magnoliopsida; Poales; Bromeliaceae
Description: long non-coding RNA (ACOM_LNC025501)
Source: RNAcentral
UUAGAGAGGGUCAUUCAUUCUAUAAUUAUUCUAAUUAUAGAUUUACUCAACUCUGUUAUUCUUUUGGAUCUAAUUAUUACUCAAAAUAUUAUAUUCGAGUAAAAUGAUUGAGUCUUACCGUACCUGAUAUAUAGCAUAAUUAUAAAUUCAUAGAAUAAUAAGAAUUUGAUGAUUGGUAUUUGAGAUUUCAAAUUUAAAAUAGAAUUAUUUUAUAUUUUUAAACGAGUUUAUUUUUGAAAAAAAAGAUGAAGCGAAUAAUUUAUUAUCU